UGGGGAAUUUUGCACAAUGGGGGCAACCCUGAUGCAGCGACGCCGCGUGAUUUAGAAGGCCUUCGGGUUGUAAAAAUCUUUUGUAUGGGAAGAAAAUGACAGUACCAUACGAAUAAGGACCGGCUAAUUACGUGCCAGCAGCCGCGGUAAUACGUAAGGUCCGAGCGUUGUCCGGAAUCAUUGGGCGUAAAGGGUACGUAGGCGGAUAAGCAAGUUAGAAGUGAAAUCCUAUAGCUCAACUAUAGUAAGCUUUUAAAACUGCUCAUCUUGAGGUAUGGAAGGGAAAGUGGAAUUCCUAGUGUAGCGGUGAAAUGCGCAGAUAUUAGGGGGAAUACCGGUGGCGAAGGCGACUUUCUGGCCAUAAACUGACGCUGAGGUACGAAAGCGUGGGUAGCAAACAGA
Molecule: ribosomal RNA, 402 nt
Filed under: Actinomycetes bacterium
Lineage: Bacteria; Bacillati; Actinomycetota; Actinomycetes
Description: Actinobacteria bacterium partial 16S ribosomal RNA
Rfam family: Bacterial small subunit ribosomal RNA
Source: RNAcentral